AAAGAAGAUGUUGAUUACUGGUUUCGUCAUAUCAUCAGCACCGGUGGUUCUUCCGCCACUUGUGGUUCUCUCAGCACUUGGGUUUGCUGUUUCUGUCCCCUAUGGGCUUUUCUUAGCAAGCUAUGCUUGCACUGAGAAAAUUAUGAGUAAAUUACUUCCAAGUCCUACAACUCCUCCUCCUUUUGUGGAAGAUGGUCUAACAAGAUAUGGAGGAGAAGAUUUAGGGUUUGGAGGAAAUGUUGAAAUGGAAAAUGAGGAAGAAGUGCUAAAAACAAGGGGGGAGAUGAGGAAUGACCCAGAUGAGAAGAGAAAUGAGGAUGAAGUGAAUGUUU
This 332-nucleotide unclassified non-coding RNA is filed under the name Hevea brasiliensis (rubber tree). The record is from RNAcentral. Lineage: Eukaryota; Viridiplantae; Streptophyta; Magnoliopsida; Malpighiales; Euphorbiaceae.